CCUACGGGAGGCUGCAGUGGGGAAUAUUGCACAAUGGGGGAAACCCUGAUGCAGCAACGCCGCGUGAAGGAAGACGGUUUUCGGAUUGUAAACUUCUAUCAAUAGGGAAGAAAGAAAUGACGGUACCUAAAUAAGAAGCUCCGGCUAACUACGUGCCAGCAGCCGCGGUAAUACGUAGGGGGCAAGCGUUAUACGGAAUUACUGGGUGUAAAGGGAGAGUAGGCGGCAAGGUAAGCGAUAUGUGAAAGCCCGGGGCCCAACCCCGGGACUGCUUUGGAAACUGUGUAACUGGAGUACAGGAGGGGCAGGCGGAAUUCCUGGUGUAGCGGUGAAAUGCGUAGAUAUCAGGAGGAACACCGGCGGCGAAGGCGGCCUGCUGGACUGAAACUGACGUUGAGGCUCGAAAGCGUGGGGAGCAAACAGGAUUAGAUACCCGGGUAGUC
This 443-nucleotide ribosomal RNA is filed under the name uncultured bacterium. Its description in RNAcentral is "partial 16S ribosomal RNA". It matches the Rfam family "Bacterial small subunit ribosomal RNA", at positions 338 to 795 of the family's 1533-position model. The record is from RNAcentral.